RNAcentral lists this ribosomal RNA (800 nucleotides) under Bacillus halotolerans. RNAcentral's name for it is "bacterial SSU rRNA". It matches the Rfam family "Bacterial small subunit ribosomal RNA", at positions 35 to 817 of the family's 1533-position model. Lineage: Bacteria; Bacillati; Bacillota; Bacilli; Caryophanales; Bacillaceae. The record is from RNAcentral.
GCAAAUUGCGGCGUGCUAUACAUGCAGUCGAGCGGACAGAUGGGAGCUUGCUCCCUGAUGUUAGCGGCGGACGGGUGAGUAACACGUGGGUAACCUGCCUGUAAGACUGGGAUAACUCCGGGAAACCGGGGCUAAUACCGGAUGCUUGUUUGAACCGCAUGGUUCAAACAUAAAAGGUGGCUUCGGCUACCACUUACAGAUGGACCCGCGGCGCAUUAGCUAGUUGGUGAGGUAAUGGCUCACCAAGGCAACGAUGCGUAGCCGACCUGAGAGGGUGAUCGGCCACACUGGGACUGAGACACGGCCCAGACUCCUACGGGAGGCAGCAGUAGGGAAUCUUCCGCAAUGGACGAAAGUCUGACGGAGCAACGCCGCGUGAGUGAUGAAGGUUUUCGGAUCGUAAAGCUCUGUUGUUAGGGAAGAACAAGUACCGUUCGAAUAGGGCGGUACCUUGACGGUACCUAACCAGAAAGCCACGGCUAACUACGUGCCAGCAGCCGCGGUAAUACGUAGGUGGCAAGCGUUGUCCGGAAUUAUUGGGCGUAAAGGGCUCGCAGGCGGUUCCUUAAGUCUGAUGUGAAAGCCCCCGGCUCAACCGGGGAGGGUCAUUGGAAACUGGGGAACUUGAGUGCAGAAGAGGAGAGUGGAAUUCCACGUGUAGCGGUGAAAUGCGUAGAGAUGUGGAGGAACACCAGUGGCGAAGGCGACUCUCUGGUCUGUAACUGACGCUGAGGAGCGAAAGCGUGGGGAGCGAACAGGAUUAGAUACCCUGGUAGUCCACGCCGUAAACGAUGAGUGCU